This is a long non-coding RNA of Corythoichthys intestinalis (scribbled pipefish), 1645 nucleotides long. RefSeq lists it as uncharacterized. NCBI's taxonomy places the organism in Eukaryota, Metazoa, Chordata, Actinopteri, Syngnathiformes, Syngnathidae. The record is from RefSeq and is a predicted model, not a curated record. The transcript is spliced from 3 exons.
CCGAUAACAUCGACACGCCGUCAAGCAUUCAGAAAUCAACCGAGUAAAAUGUCACCGGCUGCAGUAAAAGAGGAGCCCCUGCGUUUCCAACAUUCGACUGUGUGCAAAAUAAUGCACACAAAAGUUGCUGUUCACAGACUAGAAGAUCUAUAUGUCACCCAAGCCCAUCGUCCUGAGCACCAGGAGUCUGCAUGCAUUCAGAAGGAGGAAGAGUCACCAUACAUCAAGGAUGAGGAAGAGUUUCAGCAAAUAUCUUGGUCCUGAGUGGCAGGUGUCUGAGUCUCCUUCCAUUAAAGAAGAAUUUCAGCGCCCGCAAAUGAAACAGGAACAGCCAGACCACCCUCAACAGCAAAAGAGAGAAGAGCAACUUCCAAUCAAAAAGGUGGAGGUAGAGCUGCCAUCAGGGGCGGACUGGUAAUCUGUGGGUUCUGGAGGAUCACAGAACGGCCGGUGCCCUGGACGGCCGGCGGCCGCCAUUCAUUAUGCAUCACUGUUUUUAUCCCCCCUAUCCUCUGAUUAUCUACAGUUCGCAUCCAAUCCGACAGGUGGCAGCAAUGCGCCUGGCUUUUCACCUCCAAUCUGAUAGACUAGGAACGACGAAAGCACAGAGUAGCCUUCAUUGGUUCCUUCCUUGUGGAAGCAAAAUAGCGACGAGUGUUAAUGCACAAUAUGGAUGGUGGUGGCAAAAAAACUGAAAAGAGCAGGGUGGCGCGGAGAAGGUUAGAGAGAAAAAAUUAAAGAAACUGGAGAGUGAAGCAUUAAAAUGUCAUAAAUCGACAAAUAUUUUCGCAAGCAGCAGUCUGGCUGCAACGGCCACGUCGGGUAACAACAGCUCAGCUCCCGGCGAUGGUGAGAGGGAGCUGCAGCCGCUCUGACGUGCAGACGGUGCUGGGAGAGAGAAAAGAAGAGGGAGGGGGCAACGAUAAACUGUUGGAAGUUCCCCAGACAAGCGCAGGGCAAGUAAAUUGGGAUGAAGAGGGUUACUUGCUCUGUAAACUGGCAAUUGUUAUCCAUCAGGUAGCUACAUUUUAAAUCAAAUAAAUGACAAUUAAAGGGUUAGUGCCAGCUAGUCGAUGUACCCGUUUGCAAUCGUGUCAAGUUACAGUAUGCUAGUCCUACUAUCCCUCUCCUAAGAAAAAAUAUUUUAGCCGUAAAACAAUGUAUGCACACGCAGCAUAGCAAUAUUAAUUCAGAAGAAAUAUAACAAAAUAUUAAUAAAAUGAAUGGUUUUACUUUAAAGUUUAGGUAGUUAAAUUGAUGUUAUAUACAUUAUUAAUCAUAUAUAUAUCGUUUUGUUUUCUGGUUAAUACUUUCCAAUGAAGUUUAUGUAUACAGGAUUUGUCUUGAAAUGUGUAUUGUAUUUUCAUUGAAAUUUAUUAUUUGUAUGGCAAGAUUAAUUAUGGCAGGGGUCUCCAAACCGGUCCUCAAGGGCCGCUGUGGGGCCUGGUUUUUGUUUUAACCGAUCGAGUACCGACAGUUUAACCAAUGAAGUUUCUGCUAAAACAAGCAGCACCUGACUGCAAUCAACUGAUUACACUUGUAAGACACCAGAUUGGUGCAGAGGUUUUGUCUUGUAUUGUUGGAAUGAAAUCCUGCGCCCGCCGCAGCCCUAUGUGGAAUAGUUUGGAGACCACUGAAUUAUGGC